This 680-nucleotide unclassified non-coding RNA is filed under the name Hevea brasiliensis (rubber tree). Lineage: Eukaryota; Viridiplantae; Streptophyta; Magnoliopsida; Malpighiales; Euphorbiaceae. The record is from RNAcentral.
GAUUUAACAGUUCCUCCUUGUUUUCCAAUCAAACUUCCAGCUUGUGAGGCUGGCACCAGCAACCUUGUUGAAACCUUGGUUCCUGUGCCUGAGGGAACAUGAGAAGAAGAACAUGAGAAGAAUCACCGUCCAAUCCGUCGACAAUUCGUUUAUGAACCCUCAAAAGCCCAUCCAUGGCAGGAGGAAGAGAAGAAUCAGGUUCCUCCUUGGCAGAUACCAUAACAGCUCUUUCUGUUGUCCCAGGAGGACCAUCAAGUAUCUUAAUGCGAGCUCUUGUCUCCUCAACAAUUUUUUUAAUGAACUCCCCUUUGCGUCCAAUUAUACUGCCAACUUUUUGUGCAGGAACCAACAUCCGGAACACACUCUCUCCAGGCCAUCCAGGCCACUUCUUUUCACCACCUCCCGCAACUGUAUCCUCAUCAUGUCCUUGUUUUUCUUGAGCAUGAAAAUUCUCAGGCACCUGAUCUUCUGCAUGGUCUAUAUUAUGUUCUACAGCAUGAUCCACAUUCUGAUCUAUAGCAUGAUCAACAUUAUGCUCACCCAAACCAUCUGUAGCAAGAUCCAAGCCCUGAUCAACAGCAUGCUCCAAGCUCUGAUCAACAGGAUGAUUCACACCAUGAUCAACGGCAUGAUCCAGGCCGUGAUCUACACCAGGAUCCACAGCAUGAUCCAAGCCAUGA